CUACCAGGGUUUCUAAUCCUGUUUGCUCCCCACGCUUUCGCACCUCAGCGUCAGUACCGGACCAGUGAGCCGCCUUCGCCACUGGUGUUCUUCCUAAUAUCUACGAAUUCCACCUCUACACUAGGAGUUCCACUCACCUCUUCCGGACUCUAGAUUGCCAGUAUCAAAGGCAGUUCUGGAGUUGAGCUCCAGGAUUUCACCUCUGACUUAACAUUCCGCCUACGCGCGCUUUACGCCCAGUAAAUCCGAACAACGCUAGCCCCCUUCGUAUUACCGCGGCUGCUGGCAC
This 289-nucleotide ribosomal RNA is filed under the name uncultured Devosia sp. Its description in RNAcentral is "partial 16S ribosomal RNA". The record is from RNAcentral. Lineage: Bacteria; Pseudomonadati; Pseudomonadota; Alphaproteobacteria; Hyphomicrobiales; Devosiaceae.